GUGCUUGCACCGGUCCAAGGAGUUGCGAACGGGUGAGUAACGCGUAGGUAACCUACCUCAUAGCGGGGGAUAACUAUUGGAAACGAUAGCUAAUACCGCAUGACAAUGGAGGACUCAUGUCUUUCAUUUAAAAGGUGCAAUUGCAUCACUAUGAGAUGGACCUGCGUUGUAUUAGCUAGUUGGUGAGGUAACGGCUCACCAAGGCGACGAUACAUAGCCGACCUGAGAGGGUGAUCGGCCACACUGGGACUGAGACACGGCCCAGACUCCUACGGGAGGCAGCAAUAGGGAAUCUUCGGCAAUGGACGGAAGUCUGACCGAGCAACGCCGCGUGAGUGAAGAAGGUUUUCGGAUCGUAAAGCUCUGUUGUUAGAGAAGAAUGAUGGUGGGAGUGGAAAAUCCACCAUGUGACGGUAACUAACCAGAAAGGGACGGCUAACUACGUGCCAGCAGCCGCGGUAAUACGUAGGUCCCGAGCGUUGUCCGGAUUUAUUGGGCGUAAAGCGAGCGCAGGCGGUUCUUUAAGUCUGAAGUUAAAGGCAGUGGCUCAACCAUUGUACGCUUUGGAAACUGGAGAACUUGAGUGCAGAAGGGGAGAGUGGAAUUCCAUGUGUAGCGGUGAAAUGCGUAGAUAUAUGGAGGAACACCGGUGGCGAAAGCGGCUCUCUGGUCUGUAACUGA
Molecule: ribosomal RNA, 681 nt
Filed under: Streptococcus dysgalactiae
Lineage: Bacteria; Bacillati; Bacillota; Bacilli; Lactobacillales; Streptococcaceae
Description: bacterial SSU rRNA
Rfam family: Bacterial small subunit ribosomal RNA
Source: RNAcentral